RNAcentral lists this transfer RNA (87 nucleotides) under Ephemerocybe angulata. Its description in RNAcentral is "Coprinellus angulatus tRNA". It matches the Rfam family "tRNA". From Rfam's summary of the family: Transfer RNA (tRNA) molecules are approximately 80 nucleotides in length. Their secondary structure includes four short double-helical elements and three loops (D, anti-codon, and T loops). Further hydrogen bonds mediate the characteristic L-shaped molecular structure. tRNAs have two regions of fundamental functional importance: the anti-codon, which is responsible for specific mRNA codon recognition, and the 3' end, to which the tRNAs corresponding amino acid is attached (by aminoacyl-tRNA synthetases). tRNAs cope with the degeneracy of the genetic code in two manners: having more than one tRNA (with a specific anti-codon) for a particular amino acid; and 'wobble' base-pairing, i.e. permitting non-standard base-pairing at the 3rd anti-codon position. The record is from Rfam by way of RNAcentral. Lineage: Eukaryota; Fungi; Basidiomycota; Agaricomycetes; Agaricales; Psathyrellaceae.
GGUUCUAUAGUGUAGUGGUCAUCACUCGAGAUUCUGAUCGGACCUCCGAAUCUUCUCGAAACCCAGGUUCGAACCCUGGUAGGACCU